AUGACUUCUUUUGGCUUCUGCUACUUGGAUCUUCCAAUAUUAGCUGAAAGAGGGGGUCUGAGAGAAGAGAUAGAAGAGGACAGAAGGUCACACUGGGCCUGGGGAGGCAGAGAGCCAGGCCGGAGGCCCGUCGGAAAUCACACCCUGCCGGCUAAUCCCACAGGUUUUCUGCCUUCAAGUCCGGAUGGGCAGCACGCCUCUGCUGACGAUUUGCACAGAGGACACCGUCUGAUGGAACUUGCCUCAGCCUCUUCCCUUUCCUGCCGCCGGCAGCCACUAGUUUUGCCCUGUUUCUUUGGAGUAGAGCCUCACCCAAGGAGCCAGAGAACUCACCAUGCCAGUUUCAGCGUCUGGAACCCUAGAGGUUGCAGCUGUGAGCUGAGAAGGCACGUCUUCUUUCUUUUUCAGGCAACAAUCUCCAUGCUUGGUGUUGCUCUCAUUCAGUGUGGGAUGGGGGAAAGGGGAGUCUGUAUGGAGGACCUAUCAUGGCUCACCAGGAGGAGGGGGGAACCAAGAUGCCCCUGAGUGAUCUUUAAAAAUCAUUUUACUGAAGCAUAAUACACAGAAAAGUGCACACAUCAUCAGCAUGCGGCCCGGUGGCUGUCCACACAUCAAACACAUGGACUUAACUAGCAUCCAGGUCAGGAAACAGGACGUCACCAGUCCGUCCUUAACCCCCAACCUCCUAUCCAGUUCCUUUCUCCGCAGUUGUGACCCAUGAUCUGUCUUCUGACAGCAUAGAUUAGUUUUGCCUGUUUUUGAACUUUACAUAAAGGGAAUCACAGUAUUCUUUGUGUCUGCUUCCUUUGCUCACUGUUUUUGUGAGAUUCAUCUACCUGGUUGACUUUGUCAUUCUAAAUGUGGUGGAGUUGCCCCUGGUUUCUCCAUUUUGCUGUUCCUGGGCGUUUGGGUCGUCCGCAGUUGUCGGGUGUUAAGAAUGGUGCUGCUCUGAACAUUCUCUUUCCAGUCUUUGGUGAACAUUUACAUGGUUUUCUGUUGGAUAGUACCUAGAAAUGGGACUGAUUGCCUAAAAGGUAGGCGUACCUUCAGUUUCAGUACACACCGCGAUUUGUACCAAUUUACACUCGCAUCAGUACUAACUCCUAGUGUUGCUGCCUUUUAAUUUUAACCUUUCUGUGGGUGUGUGGUGGUGUAGCAUUGUGGUUUUAAUUUGCAUUUCCCUGAUGAUUAAUGAAGUAGAGCACCUUUGCAUAUGCUCACUGGCCAUUUUCUUUUCUGUGAAGUGCUAGUUCAAGUCCUCUGCCCAUUUUCCUAUUGGGUUGCCUGCAUUUUUCUUACUGGUUUCUAAGUAUUCUUAUAUAGUUUGGGUAUAGAUUCUUCGUCAGAUAUGGUCUUGUAUGCAGCUCCUUUCCUCCCCAUUCAUCCCUGUUACUCUCUGAUGCCAUCUCCUGCUGUUUUACCCAUUGAUCAUCCCUUUCCUGCCAUUGACUUCUUGUUCUUUGAACAUGCUCUGCCAGGCACACUCUCACUUUACACUAGUUUCCACUUCUGCCUGGAAUGUUCUUUCCCAGAAACUCACAUGGAUCUCUUCCCCAUCUCCUUCAAGUCUUCGCUCCACCGUCCCCUUCUUGGUGAAGCCUUCUCUGACUUACAUAUUUGGUCUCACAAUACCCUUCAUACAUUGUAUCUGCCACCUUUAUCCAAUCACUUUAAAAAACUUUCUACCAACAAACUUUUCAAACAUAAACAAAAUUAGAAUAGUAUAAAGGCUUUUCCUCAUGUAUCUAUUAUUCAGCAUCAAUAAUUAGCAUCAUUUUUACAAUCUUAUUUUGUCCAUAAAUACAUCAGUCUGCAUCUUUAAUAAAUAAGUACUUUUCUGGGGAGCAGUCACCACACCAUUAUCAAAUUCAAUAAAAUUAAUAGUAUCAUACAAUGUUAGCCCAUAAUCAAAUUUCUCAGUUGUCUCAGAAAUGUCUUAUUCUAGUUGAUAUGUUUGAAUUAAGGUCCAAAAUACGUACAUUGCUUUAAACUGUUUCCAUGGCAAUAUCACCAACCGAAGUACUAUACAUUUUACAUAUUUAUUUGCUCAUUGUCUAUUUCUCCCAACUGAACAUCAGCUUUAAGAGAGUAGGAUUUUUGUUUUCUUCUUUGCUAAUAUUAGCACCUUGUAGGCUUGAAUAAAUGUGGAAUGAACGAAUGAACAAAGUUGGCAGCAUGGGCUCAAUAGCCCAAAGAGUAUGCUUUGUCACCUUGGUCAGAUCUGUAACUUUCCAGCUCUAAAACUGGACAACUUCAUGAACUUCAAUUUUCUUAUCUGUGAAAUGGGCCCAAUACCAACUUCACAGAAUUGUUACGGCAAUUAGACAAAGUAUAUGUACAGGGUCUGGCACCCAGUAUGCUCUCAGUAAAGGUAUUACAUUAACUGUAACUGCCUUUAUAGGGCACAAGCAGGUGAUGGAUAUGUAUAAGGAAUUUGGCCUUGGCCAAAGAGGUCUGGCUUUUGUUCCUGGUUCCUGGGAGAUAAACUUUAAACCCUUUGGGAUUUCCCAAGGGUUAUUCAUGGAAGGCUGUGUACCCCACCCCUGAUAGAUUAUGCUGAGGUGACUCACAGUAGGCUGCUUAGGCCAGGUGUAAUGAACCUGACCUAAGUGGGGUGGGGUGGGAAUCUGAGCUCAUAUCUUAUGGGCAAUUAGUCACUCAUAUUUAUGUAAUAAGCUCCCAACAGAAAGUCUAGACACUGAAGCGUGGCUGAGCUUCCCUGGUUGGCCAGACUCUGUGCAUAUGGCCACACACUGAUAGCCAUACCAGGAAGGUAAUGCAUUCUGAGGACAAUGGAAGCUUCACACCUGGAACCUCUCAGACUCUACCCUAUGUGUCUCUUUUAUUGUAUAAUUUUGAUCUGUAUCUGUUCCCUCAAAUAAACUGUAACUAUGAAUGAGUU
Long non-coding RNA from Mustela putorius furo (domestic ferret), 2902 nucleotides. Lineage: Eukaryota; Metazoa; Chordata; Mammalia; Carnivora; Mustelidae. The record is from Ensembl.